This 1567-nucleotide ribosomal RNA is filed under the name Brachyrhynchoides oosterlyncki. RNAcentral's name for it is "eukaryotic LSU rRNA". It matches the Rfam family "Eukaryotic large subunit ribosomal RNA", at positions 160 to 1509 of the family's 3401-position model. Lineage: Eukaryota; Metazoa; Platyhelminthes; Rhabdocoela; Polycystididae. The record is from RNAcentral.
AGUCCUACGGCAUAUUGGCAUUGUUCUAAGUCCACGUGAUUGUGGCUUUAAGUCCACAGAGGGUGUAAGACCCGUACGAACAAUACAGUGUGUCCUGGAUUUGCUCCUAGAGUCGGGUUGUUUGGGAAUGCAGCCCAAAUCGGGUGGUAAACUCCAUCCAAGGCUAAAUACAACACGAGUCCGAUAGCGAACAAGUACCAUGAGGGAAAGUUGAAAAGAACUUUGAAGAGAGAGUUCAAUAGUGCGUGAAACCAUACACAGGAAAACGGACAGAACCGAAGGAGGGUUUGCAUAUUUGUAUUUCACUUAUGCCUGGGGAGUUGCUUAAGACAUUAACCGUGCUUAAGUUGCUUCAUAUAAAGGUAAAGUGUUGUGCUAUUAUGUAAAUCUGACACCAUGAUCGGUUAUUAGGUCUGGCCUGUUAUUAUGCAAGCUACCAACCUUGUGUUGGCGUUAUAGGCUUAAAUAGCAGCGCUAGCCGAAAACCGUUAUGCAAUGCAUGACAUUGUGGUUGGCAUGGGUAUUAUUGUAAUUGGAAAGAGGAUAAUUUACUCCGUUAAAGGAGUAAUUGUUCUUCCGGAAGAUUCAUAGUGCUCCUCUGCUUUCUACAUUAUUAAUCCAUGGUGCAAUUGUAGGUAAUCUGUCCGACCCGUCUUGAAACACGGACCAAGGAGUUUAACAUGUGCGCAAGUCAUUGGGUAUUACGAAACCUAAAGGCGCAGUGAAAGUAAAGGCUUGACUUGUACAAGCUUAGGUGGGAUCCCGAUUUUCAAUGUUACUUUAUAACAUGGAUUGGGCGCACCACCAGCUCGUCCCAUGCUUUAUUAAGUGGGGCGAAGCAAGAGCGCACAUGUUGAGACCCGAAAGAUGGUGAACUAUGCUUGUGUAGGUUGAAGCCAGAGGAAACUCUGGUGGAGGACCGUAGCGAUUCUGACGUGCAAAUCGAUCGUCAAACAUGAGCAUAGGGGCGAAAGACUAAUCGAACCAUCUAGUAGCUGGUUCCCUCCGAAGUUUCCCUCAGGAUAGCAGGCACUCUUGAAACAAACAGUUUUAUCCGGUAAAGCGAAUGAUUAGCAGUAUUGGGGAUUAUAUAUCCUCAACUGAUUCUCAAACUUUAAAUGGGUGAGAUGCCCAACUCUCUUGAACUUAUGGAGUUGAGCGUUUGAAUGUGAGUGCCUAGUGGGCCAUUUUUGGUAAGCAGAACUGGCGAUGUGGGAUGAACCAAACGUCUGGUUACGGAGCCUAACAUAACGCUCAUGAGAUACCACAAAAGGUGUUGGUUGAUUUUGACAGCAGGACGGUGGCCAUGGAAGUCGGAAUCCGCUAAGGAGUGUGUAACAACUCACCUGCCGAAUCAACCAGCCCUGAAAAUGGAUGGCGCUGGAGCGUUGGUCCUAUACCAGACCGUUACCGCGAAUUGCAAAGUAUGCGGUAACGAGUAGGAGGGUGCCGUAGUGAGCGUUGAAGCCUAGGCCGUGAGGUUGGGUGGAGCCGCUACGGGUGCAGAUCUUGGUGGUAGUAGCAAAUAUUCAAGUGAGAACCUUGAAGACUGAAGUGAGAAGGGUUC